UGAAAUACAAUAAAAUUAAGCUUCUAACUUAAUUUCUAGCAUAAAUCUGUUUAUAUUUC
RNAcentral lists this transfer RNA (59 nucleotides) under Erotylinae sp. 2 ACP-2013. RNAcentral's name for it is "tRNA-Ser". The record is from RNAcentral. Lineage: Eukaryota; Metazoa; Arthropoda; Insecta; Coleoptera; Erotylidae.